UACGUAGGGGCGAGCGUUGUCCGGAAUUACUGGGCGUAAAGGGCGCGCAGGCGGUUAUGUUAGUCUGCUGUGAAAAGCAUCGGCUUAACCGGUGUCUUGCGGCGGAUACUGCAUAGCUUGAGUACUGGAGAGGAAAGUGGAAUUCCUAGUGUAGCGGUGAAAUGCAUAGAGAUUAGGAGGAACACCAGUGGCGAAGGCGGCUUUCUGGACAGUAACUGACGCUGAGGCGCGAAAGCGUGGGGAGCAAACAGGAUUAGAUACCCCCGUA
Molecule: ribosomal RNA, 268 nt
Filed under: uncultured prokaryote
Description: partial 16S ribosomal RNA
Rfam family: Bacterial small subunit ribosomal RNA
Source: RNAcentral